Molecule: ribosomal RNA, 96 nt
Filed under: Ewingella americana
Lineage: Bacteria; Pseudomonadati; Pseudomonadota; Gammaproteobacteria; Enterobacterales; Yersiniaceae
Source: RNAcentral
CUUGGCGGCAGUAGCGCGGUGGUCCCACCUGACCCCAUGCCGAACUCAGAAGUGAAACGCCGUAGCGCCGAUGGUAGUGUGGGGUCUCCCCAUGCG